RNAcentral lists this long non-coding RNA (3714 nucleotides) under Helianthus annuus (common sunflower). RNAcentral's name for it is "hypothetical non coding rna". Lineage: Eukaryota; Viridiplantae; Streptophyta; Magnoliopsida; Asterales; Asteraceae. The record is from RNAcentral.
GGAGCAGAAGGUGAGAUACGUACAAAAGGGGGAACUUUCAAUUUGUGAGCUGAUCCAUCAUAAAUCCAUCAUAAAUAAAAGGAUUUUGGGGUUUUGACCCUUUUAGGCUGGUGGACGGCAAAGCAAACCGGUGAAAACUGUUUUGACUAUAUACCUCUCAUUCGGGAAUCAUAGAAGGAUAACCCGAAGAUCCAAGAUUCCGGUGGCGAGUACAACUCAACCUUUAGUUUCUUCAUUUACGCAUAAAGGCUGUAUGUAUCUUUUGACAAGUGAACCAGCAGUGCCAGUUCGAGGAUCUAUAACAGUACCAGCAGCGGUUAAUGAUGGAACGAAGACAAGAAACAUAACGGAAACAGACAUGUAACGAAUACAGCCAUAAAUCAAAAUGUCGACCAACAUGGCAUAAAGGCGAUGGCCACCCACCUAAAUACAGAGCCGGCUCAAGCUUUUCCGAAGCCCAAAGCGGAUAAUAAAAAUCGGGGCCUUUUUCAUUAAAAAAAAAAUAACAUUAUGUGUUUUUAAUCCUAGAUUGUGAAGGUAAAGAAAACCCUGUAAUCUCCUGUAUAUGCCUUUAUUUUUUUUAUAGUAGAAAACUACCUAUAGUUGUUAUAAAUAUAAACUAUAUGAGGGCCUAGCCUUUUUAGUAAUUUUUUAAACUACAUGUUUCUCAAGUGGACAUGAAAACAGAAUUAACAAAAACCAAAUAAAACGAUCUAAGUGGGAAUUGAUCUCGUGUCAGCUGCCUAUAAAAUGGAAGCAUUACCACUAAUAUACAAGUAAGUUAUGUCUUACAAUAGCCAGAAUAUUCUUAAUAUCUAGAUUAUAAAAAUUUAUAUAUUGCUCUUUUAAAUGGAGCCCUCAAAUUUUGUAGGCCCUAGGCCUAAGCCUAGCUUAAACACAGUGUUGGGCCGGCCUUGCCUAAAUACGAUUAAAAAUACAAAUGCUUAAUUGGUAACUAAUUAUUUUGUAGUUAUCCCAAGGCAAAAUCUACACCGCCGUAAGCUUCUCUUCCACUGAUUGCGGAAUUCAAUAAGCUUUCAAUGCUCUCACAUAACCAUUCCUCCAUCAAUGGUAAGCACCUGCAAAUGUGUAUAUUGUUUUCAUAGGAAAAUGUUAACCACCAACAGAAAACGCCUACUUAUGUAAGUAAACUACUUUAUUUUACUUUACUGAUGGUUUCUUAAACACCGAGCACCUAAACAUGAGCGGAAUUUGAGGGGGCCGGGAGAAGUACAUUGUUAUCCCCUCUGAUCCCGCCACUAAACCUCAACAUGAAUAUCAAUGGAUAAUCAAUCAGUAACCACCAACCACCGGUUAGCACACAACACUUUUUUAAACAAUAAUUAGUUUUAUAAAUUUUCUUUUCAGAAUAUGGUGAUACAUGUCAUCUUGCAGAAAUGGGAUAUUGGCUUACGUUUAUGCCUGUAAAUGAACCUAAUGAACACAAACAGAGGCAUGUUCGUGUUCGUUCAUUUAACUCUAACCGAACACGAACAUAUAAUCGAACACUUUUUUUUGUUCAUGUUCGUUUAUUAAGAAAAUGGGCAUGUUCGUGUUCUUUUAUGUUCGUUCGUUUAAAACCUAAACAAACAGUUCACGAACGUAAACGAACAUAAACAAACAAACUUAAAUGAACAUAAUUUAACAAAAAUAAACAACACAAAUGAACAUAACUGACUAACCAUAAACGAACAUAAAAUAUUUUUUUAUAUAAAUUAGUGAUUAAUUACGAUAAAUACCAUUGAAAACCCAUUUUUAUUACUAGAAAACCCAAUUACCAAUUAGUUGUAUUUAUAUAAGUAGUUAGAAAGUUAGAAAGUUCCUUUUAUAUUUAAUAUUUAUAUAAAUAUAACUACUUAUGUAUUUAAUUGAAAUGAACAAACAUAAACGAAUGAACAAAAGCAAAUGUAAAUAAACGAACAUAAACAGACGUUCAAAAACAUAAAUGAAUGAACAAAAUGGGUGUUCAUGUUCGUUCGUUUAAUUAGUUUAAUUAAAUGAACAGAAAAUUGUGUUCAUGUCUGUUCGUUAAUUACAUAAACGAACUUCCCACCGAACACACGAACAUUUUCAGGUCCUUUACAGGCCUGGUUCUUUCUGGUUCUUAUAUCUAGCAUUAAACGGUUCCGGUUUGAUCCUCACUAGUGCCGGUUUUAAACCGUUACACAUUCCUAAUUUUUAUAGAAGUUUUAUAGUUUAAUUUUUUUUUCUUCAAACUCUAGACAUCAAUUGUAUUAUCUGAACUAAACAAUUAUGAAGAUGCAUAUGUUGCAUUUAUACAUUUAGUUGUUUAGGGAAGGUUCAUUUGAGAAGAAAAUUUAAUUGAGAAGAAAAAGAACAAAGUGUAAUUUUGUAAAACAUUAAAUAGUUUUUUUCACUUAUCUCAUUUAUUAUCAUUUUUGACUAAUUAAUUAGUCAUAAAGACUAUUAUCCUCCACACUAAUUUUUUUGCCUACACACAUCAAAAGUUAACCUAUAUAUUUCUAAAUUCAUCUUAUACGUUGAAAUUUAUCCUACACAACUCGUAAUUUAUCCUACACUUUAAAUUAUUUUAUUUUAUUUUUUUGAAAAAAAAAUAUAUUUUGAAGAUAAGUUCCAAAAAAUUUAAUGUAUUAGCUAUUAAAGAUGAAGACUACAAAUUAAUGACCUAUGUAGAUUUACCAAUGUACCCUUAUAGUAAUAUUAAAUAUUUAUAUUAAAUGAAGUAAAAUAAAGCAUUCUUAUUGGUUGAAAUUUGUUCUCUUUUUUCUUCUUACAAAAUAUUUCUUCUUAUUUGAACUCUCCACUAGUUGUUUAUAGGAGAUUAUUUGAUGGAAACUAUACUAAUUUAUACGUUACUUUAUUGCAUGAUAAAAGUAUAACCAUCUAUGUUUUUAGAAGCUAUAUCAUAUAAAAUAAAAAUAGUUCUAGAUUUUAUAUUUACAAAAGUAUUAAGUGUUACAUAAAUUCAAGUCAUGAAUGGGGUUAAACAUGACAAGACUAUAUUUAACUAUGUGUUAACUACCCCACACUAUAAACAAAAGUAUUAAGUGUUACAUAAAUUCAAGUCAUGAAUGGGGUUAAACAUGACAAGACUAUAUUUAACUAUGUGUUAACUACCCCACACUAUAAAAAGGGAUAAAUAUGAGAUGCAAGUUUAACUUCAGUCUCAUGACACGAACCCUUUAUUGUUCCAAAUGAAUUGUCUUGCUUAAAAAAGUGUUCAUAUUAAUUGUAUUAGUAAAAGCUAUGAUAGUACAUACCAUUAAACACAUGUUGUGUACUUAAAAAUCUUGUUUAAGACGAGUCCAACCCUUCUAGCUAGUGAUGAGCAAUUUGGUACAAUUACCGAAAAAUACUUGUACUGUAACGAAUGAAUUUAUGUAUCAAUUCGGUAUCCAUAUUUGGCAUUUUUCGGGAUCGGUACUUUCGGUUUGGUAUGGUAUGGUAUGAUACGGUACAGUAAUUUACGGACUUUUUUACCUUCGAAUACGAUACCCUACCGAGCACAUUUGGUACCGGUACUCGUACCCAUUUUUGAUGACUUUCAGGAUCGGUACUUUCGGUACUGGUACAAUACCGAUCUCAUCCAUACUUCUAGCGUUUGGAUGGCCUUAGCCUAUAGCAUUGAACAGAUGACUCCAAAUGCCACCAACAUUGGUCAACGUCACCGUCACCGGCAACUCAAUUCCUCCCAGCAUUGUUUGAAGUAAAAUUCAACUUUAACCACUCAAC